GUGGGGAAUAUUGGACAAUGGGCAAAAGCCUGAUCCAGCCAUGCCGCGUGUGUGAAGAAGGUCUUCGGAUUGUAAAGCACUUUAAGUUGGGAGGAAGGGCAGUAAGCUAAUACCUUGCUGUUUUGACGUUACCGACAGAAUAAGCACCGGCUAACUUCGUGCCAGCAGCCGCGGUAAUACGAAGGGUGCAAGCGUUAAUCGGAAUUACUGGGCGUAAAGCGCGCGUAGGUGGUUCAGCAAGUUGGAGGUGAAAUCCCCGGGCUCAACCUGGGAACUGCCUCCAAAACUACUGAGCUAGAGUACGGUAGAGGGUAGUGGAAUUUCCUGUGUAGCGGUGAAAUGCGUAGAUAUAGGAAGGAACACCAGUGGCGAAGGCGACUACCUGGACUGAUACUGACACUGAGGUGCGAAAGCGUGGGGAGCAAACAGGAUUAGAUACCCGUGUAGUCC
This 450-nucleotide ribosomal RNA is filed under the name uncultured bacterium. Its description in RNAcentral is "partial 16S ribosomal RNA". It matches the Rfam family "Bacterial small subunit ribosomal RNA", at positions 354 to 796 of the family's 1533-position model. The record is from RNAcentral.